AUUGAACGCUAGCGGGAUGCUUUACACAUGCAAGUCGAACGGCAGCGCGGACUUCGGUCUGGCGGCGAGUGGCGAACGGGUGAGUAAUGUAUCGGAACGUGCCCAGUAGCGGGGGAUAACUACGCGAAAGCGUAACUAAUACCGCAUACGCCCUACGGGGGAAAGCAGGGGAUCGUAAGACCUUGCACUAUUGGAGCGGCCGAUAUCGGAUUAGCUAGUUGGUGAGGUAACGGCUCACCAAGGCGACGAUCCGUAGCUGGUUUGAGAGGACGACCAGCCACACUGGGACUGAGACACGGCCCAGACUCCUACGGGAGGCAGCAGUGGGGAAUUUUGGACAAUGGGGGCAACCCUGAUCCAGCCAUCCCGCGUGUGCGAUGAAGGCCUUCGGGUUGUAAAGCACUUUUGGCAGGAAAGAAACGUCGCGGGCUAAUACCCCGUGGAACUGACGGUACCUGCAGAAUAAGCACCGGCUAACUACGUG
This 484-nucleotide ribosomal RNA is filed under the name uncultured bacterium. Its description in RNAcentral is "partial 16S ribosomal RNA". It matches the Rfam family "Bacterial small subunit ribosomal RNA", at positions 30 to 507 of the family's 1533-position model. The record is from RNAcentral.